UACAGGGGGUGCAAACGUUGCUCGGAAUCAUUGGGCGUAAAGAGCGUGUAGGCGGCCUGGUAGGUCCGCUGUGAAAGUCCAGGGCUCAACCCUGGAAUGCCGGUGGAAACUGUCAGGCUCGAGUCCGGAAGAGGCGAGUGGAAUUCCUGGUGUAGCGGUGAAAUGCGCAGAUAUCAGGAGGAACACCAAUGGCGAAGGCAGCUCGCUGGGACGGUACUGACGCUGAGACGCGAAAGCGUGGGGAGCGAACAGG
RNAcentral lists this ribosomal RNA (253 nucleotides) under uncultured bacterium. Its description in RNAcentral is "partial 16S ribosomal RNA". It matches the Rfam family "Bacterial small subunit ribosomal RNA", at positions 524 to 776 of the family's 1533-position model. The record is from RNAcentral.